This 141-nucleotide ribosomal RNA is filed under the name uncultured eukaryote. RNAcentral's name for it is "partial 18S ribosomal RNA". It matches the Rfam family "Eukaryotic small subunit ribosomal RNA", at positions 1299 to 1458 of the family's 1831-position model. The record is from RNAcentral.
UGGUGGAGUGAUUUGUCUGGUUAAUUCCGUUAACGAACGAGACCUUAACCUACUAAAUAGUUACAUGAAUCUUUAUGAUUCAUGGGCAACUUCUUAGAGGGACUUUGGGCGUUUAGUCCAAGGAAGUUUGAGGCAAUAACA